GGUUAGCUGUAGAUCGGAAAAGAUGUCGAAGAACGGAUCAAAUGUGUUCAGAUUUCUGUUGAUGCAUGUUUUACUAAAGUUUAUUUCGUCAGAUGAAUGCAAAAUCCAACAAGAUCCUUGUGUUUGCCAAACAGCGAAAAGAAAAGUCAAUUUUAGAGACAUUGGUUUAAAAAUUGGGGAACCUAGGUUUAGUGAUAUUCCAGAUGUUCAUUUAAAUCACUAUUUCUACAAUCCAUGUUUAAUUUUCACAAAAGGCACAUGUAAAGACGCUACGGUAUGUCAGAGUGCUGGUUCUAACUUUUACAAACUGGCUACAGUACCUCCUAUCUAUUCUGGUGAUCCUGAUCUAGAUACACUAAAAAUAACAUAUGGUGCAGUGCUUGAUCAAGGAACAUCAAGACAAGCAGUUGUGAAUGUGAGGUGUAAAAAGUGCAGUGAUGCAAAACUCACGGCUCAAGCAGAAAAACAUGUUCCUGGUCUUAUUGUAUAUCCUUUUACACUUGAAACAGACAUUGUCUGUGAGGAAAGAUGUCCAUCUAGUUCGUCAGGUCUAAGCACUGGUUCCAUAUUAGUAAUAUUGUUUUUUGUAUUCUUGGCUAUUUAUUGGAUUGGAGGAAUUUUAUUUUUGAAAUAUGUACGAAAGGCUCAAGGUGUUGAAUUAGUACCAAAUUAUCCAUUCUGGAAAGAUCUUCCAUUAUUAGUAAGGGAUGGCGUAGUUUUUGUUAUAAGUGGAUGUAAACCACAGUCAACGUAUGAAAAAAUUUAGAUAUUUAAUUUAUGUUUGAAAAUACACGACAUGUCAUCAAUAGUUAUCUUUCCUGAUCGAAAAAAUCUGAUUGAGACCCUGAAUUACAUUAUUAAAAAGAAACAAGUUAAACCACCAUUAUUACACAGGAUUAAGAAUCACGCACAUCUUUGUACAAGUGUGAAUAAUGAGGUUGUGUAUGAAUACACUGGUACUCCACAGUGACCUUUAGCUAUAAAUAUGGUUCUAUGAGUAUUAAUAUGAAAUCACUGGUGUAGUACUGGUGAAAUACAAAAUUGAAAUGGGGUUACAUGUUCUACCUUUCUGUACUGACAGGGCUAAUGAAGACAGCCAAAUGUUAUGCAGUGUGCUAUGAGGGCAAAUUAAACAGGACUUGGAAACUGGGCUAAAGAUUCACUUGUAGUAAACUGUAUACCAUAUGUCUGUCUUCAUUUACCCCAGUUGGUGUAGAAAUGUAGGAGGUUAAACCUGAUUGUAUUGUCUACCUAGAGCACUCAGUCCCACACCACUGACAAGCUAAAGGAAGUUUGGCUGCUUUGGAUUGUACUGAAACCUGUCCUAUAGUGAACUGCCUUAUUGUGGUGUUCCAGUGUGAUUUCAAACUAGAAAUAAAGUCUUCUGACUGGAUGUAGUUUCUAAAUAUCCCACCGAAUCCAUAGUAAAAAACAAGUUAUGCACACUUUUCCUCAACUGAAACCUGUCCUAUAGUGAACUGCCUUAUUGUGGUGUUCCAGUGUGAUUUCAAACUAGAAAUAAAGUCUUCUGACUGGAUGUAGUUUCUUAAUAUCCCACCGAAUCCAUAGUAAAAAACAAAUUAUGCACACUUUUCCUCAACAUUAAAUAUUCCCCCCCCCCCCCCCCCCC
Patella vulgata (common limpet) is the source of this 1630-nucleotide long non-coding RNA. RefSeq lists it as uncharacterized. Lineage: Eukaryota; Metazoa; Mollusca; Gastropoda; Patellidae. The transcript has 7 exons. The record is from RefSeq and is a predicted model, not a curated record.